GAGAAACAGCACUCUCCUUAGCUUCGCCACAGAGCAAUCAGUCAUUGCUACACGGCUGAUCCUCCAAUGCUGCAGUAACCACAGAAACCACACAGAGCUUGGACUGAGCACGUGGUUACGGACACAAUCAUCAUUUUUAACACAGAGAGAUGAAGUCACUCAAUCUUCUCUCGGAUGAAAAUAAAAUAUUGAAAUACAACUUUGGAAAUAAACGUUCUUCCUCCCAAUGGAGAAACGUGUGCUGUGAAGACAAGACUCCAUUUUAAGUCCCUGAGUAAGGGACAAGAAGACCAAUGGGACGGAUUCCUGAGAAGCCAUUAAAAAUUGGAGUGCUCCAACCUCAGAGAAGCCAUCCAGGCAAAGAACUGUUUGGAGGUCCUGCCCUUAUAAUGAAGAAUAAUGAGACCAAGGAGAAUCUGGAUGCAUGAAACCUGAGGAACCCAGAAAGAUCUUGCAGGAUUCCUUCCCCAUGAGAAUCAGAUUCUCUUGCCAACAGUCCACAGCCCAACCAUCAAACAGGAAUAGAGAUGGUGAUCAUCCCACAAAGAAGUCAGCAGCUCCUGGAAGUGCCUGGAAUAAUGAGACUCCCAUGCACCCUCCCACUCCAUUUUCCAUUCUAGAAACAUUCUAUUUCAAUGCGCUCUCCUCCUUUUCAUACUUAUUUUCCAUCUGGGCACCCAUCCAGACAUUAAAAUUCAUAUCUUCCUUGAAGAAAUCUCCAUCACGAAGCUAUCAUUACCCUUGGCUCCAGCAUAGAUAAGUCUCAGAUAUGUGGUUCAGAAGUACCCCAGAGGGAGCUGGGAGGUGGAGGGAAAGCUGAAAGUGUAAUAAACAGAAUAUAUUCAGCAAGGUUUUCCCCAUGUUGGGUCCAUCUGAUUCAGGAAUGCCUCAUGAUCAUUACCAAACCCAGGGAUGAUUUGAGACAGAUGUAUUUAAGGAGUUCUGUCUUUUUUCCUCUUUCUCAAGUUGCCCUUAGUCACCCUGAAAUCAUGACCAGCUUUUUUAGUACAAAAAGGAAACUCCUACAGGCCAAGGAAUGAACUCAUCUGUUCAUCAAUGGAUCCAAGUUCAGGUCCUGUUUCCUGCAUGACUUCUGCAUAUCCUUGCUUUUCAGAGCAGAUACUACUCACAGGGAGCUCAGAAAAGGAAAAUGUACAUGUGACACAGUGAAAAGACAGACCUGGCUCCAACAGUUCUUCACACCAAGAAUAUCCAAAGACAGUCUUUUGGUUUGCAGCUGUAGCCAAGAUAGUGAUGUUCAGAACAUCCUUUUCCAAAUUCACAUUGUUCUGAAUCUGAACUAAUAGAUCAUAAAGUCCCUGAGGGUUAUGUCUUUAAUUAAUUCAGUAUUUAUUGAGUAAUACUAUAUACCAAGCAUUGUACUUAUUUGUCUUUGUAACACCAGUCUUAGUCAUAAUAAGCAUACAAUGAGUGUUUGCUUGUUUGUUUGUUUUGAUGGUUGUUUUCCCAACUAGAAUGCAAGCACUAAGUAGUCAUGGACUUGAACCUGACAUAUCCUGGGUGCUUAAAACACUUUUUUUGAAGUGAUAGAUUAAUUAAUUAAUGAAUGAGUGAAUAAAGUAGUCAACUCACACCAAAAAGUUGUAGCUGACAGUGAUAGGAAGUGGUAUGUUU
Long non-coding RNA from Equus asinus (donkey), 1635 nucleotides. The record is from Ensembl. Lineage: Eukaryota; Metazoa; Chordata; Mammalia; Perissodactyla; Equidae.